Molecule: small nucleolar RNA, 126 nt
Organism: Suncus etruscus (white-toothed pygmy shrew)
Lineage: Eukaryota; Metazoa; Chordata; Mammalia; Eulipotyphla; Soricidae
Product: small nucleolar RNA SNORA51
Exons: 1
Source: RefSeq, a predicted model, not a curated record
UAAAUGCUAAAAUUAAUACCAUAAAAAUAUUAUAACUGUAUAGAAAGAGGAGGUACAGUAAAUGCUCCCCAUAUACACCUCAAACCAAGCCCUUUGCCUGAUCUGUAUUGUGAAUGGGGGACAAAA